CUCACAGGUCAUGUCGUCACUGCAGGAAGUCUGCGUAGAGACUCAUGCAGGGCAGGAACCCGGAGGUAGGCACUGAGCAAAAGCCGUGGAGGAGAACCGCUUACUGGCUUGCUUCUUGUGGCUUACUCAGCCUGCUUUCCUAUAGAACCCAGGACCGUGGGGGUGGCACCACCCACAUCGAGUUGGAAUCUCCCACAGCAAUCAUUAAUCAAGGAAAAUCAAGAAAAUGGCCUACAGAUUUGCCCACAGGCCAAUUUCCUGGAGGCGUUUUCUCUGCUAGUAUUUCCUUUUCGCAGAUAUGUCUAGGUUUGUGUCAAAAAAAAAAAAA
RNAcentral lists this long non-coding RNA (328 nucleotides) under Rattus norvegicus (Norway rat). Its description in RNAcentral is "long non-coding RNA NONRATT024734". The record is from RNAcentral. Lineage: Eukaryota; Metazoa; Chordata; Mammalia; Rodentia; Muridae.